Molecule: long non-coding RNA, 377 nt
Organism: Leopardus geoffroyi (Geoffroy's cat)
Lineage: Eukaryota; Metazoa; Chordata; Mammalia; Carnivora; Felidae
Exons: 3
Source: RefSeq, a predicted model, not a curated record
CCCAGCCAGAAACGAGGCAAGAAUCCCCAGCGGUCGGGCACUGGGAGGCGAUGCUGAUGUUCUGGAUGGCAUCCGACCCGGGCACCGACUCUUUCAACUUGAUGAGCAUGAGGUCGUUGGCGAUAAAAGACACAUCCUGUGUGGAGAAGAAUGACCGUAGGGUGAGAAGGGAGCAGACACCGACACGAAGGCGGAAGGUGACAGCAGCCCAGGUGGGCGAUGCUGUGGUCCAGGGAGAAGAGGAAUGAAUGGGCGCAGGGCUCAUCCCGGAGUUCAGAAGGCCAGAAGUCCAAAGGCAGUCUCACUGGACUGGUUCCUUCUAGAGGCUCUAAGGGUGACUCCAUUUCCUUGUCUUUUCAGCUUCUGGAGGCACCUGC